UACGGGGGGGAGCAAGCGUUGUUCGGAUUUACUGGGCGUAAAGGGCGCGUAGGCGGUCGUGACAAGUCACUUGUGAAAUCUCCGGGCUUAACUCGGAACGGUCAAGUGAUACUGUCGGACUAGAGUACAGAAGGGGCAACUGGAAUUCUCGGUGUAGCGGUGAAAUGCGUAGAUAUCGAGAGGAACACCUGCGGCGAAGGCGACUUCCUGGACAGACACUGACACUGAGGCACGAAAGCGUGGGGAGCAAACAGG
RNAcentral lists this ribosomal RNA (255 nucleotides) under uncultured bacterium. RNAcentral describes it as "partial 16S ribosomal RNA". It matches the Rfam family "Bacterial small subunit ribosomal RNA", at positions 524 to 776 of the family's 1533-position model. The record is from RNAcentral.